Molecule: long non-coding RNA, 387 nt
Organism: Ornithodoros turicata
Lineage: Eukaryota; Metazoa; Arthropoda; Arachnida; Ixodida; Argasidae
Exons: 2
Source: RefSeq, a predicted model, not a curated record
CCAGAAUACUAAGACAGAGCUAUGGGGGCUGAGGCGUUUGUCUUUCUUGUUGGGUGUUCUCUUGCCAUGAUUGCAGGAAUAAGCAGCCACGAAGAUAGCUUUGAAUUCUCAAGCAUUGAAGACAUGUCUGGAGAGAUUGAUGAAGAACACUCGAGAAGCCGCAGGUCACCGAAAGACAAACAGAGUAAGACCAGUGAAAGCACGGAAAGCAGCGAGAGCAAGUCGAAAGAGUCUUCAGAAAAAAGAGAUAAGAAUACUGUAUCUAGUACGCCAUCAGCGAUAUCCUCAAGAGCAACGCGUGAGACAAUAAACGCCACCGCUGGGACAAGCACGACAAAGGCCGCAAACUGACGUACUUUAAUCGAAAAUAAAUCGUUGUUUGCCAAC